This is a small nucleolar RNA of Molossus molossus (Pallas's mastiff bat), 99 nucleotides long. RefSeq annotates it as small nucleolar RNA U13. The record is from RefSeq and is a predicted model, not a curated record. The transcript has a single exon. Lineage: Eukaryota; Metazoa; Chordata; Mammalia; Chiroptera; Molossidae.
AUCCUUUUGUAGUUCAUAAGAGUGAUGAUUGUGUGUUCACGUUCUAGUGUGAGAUGUGUCUUCCACAAACCUUGCUACCCUCACCUGGCCGGUGUGGCU